This 210-nucleotide ribosomal RNA is filed under the name uncultured bacterium. Its description in RNAcentral is "partial 16S ribosomal RNA". It matches the Rfam family "Bacterial small subunit ribosomal RNA", at positions 1168 to 1377 of the family's 1533-position model. The record is from RNAcentral.
GGAAGGUGGGGAUGACGUCAAGUCCUCAUGGCCCUUAUGGGUAGGGCUUCACACGUCAUACAAUGGUCGGAACAGAGGGUUGCCAACCCGCGAGGGGGAGCUAAUCCCAGAAAACCGAUCGUAGUCCGGAUUGCACUCUGCAACUCGAGUGCAUGAAGCUGGAAUCGCUAGUAAUCGCGGAUCAGCAUGCCGCGGUGAAUACGUUCCCGG